UUAAAUACAACAAGAGAUGAGGUGUAAAGGUGAUCUGUGUCCAUCAAAUUGUCUGCAGCGUAAUUAUUAUUGAGUGAGUGCUCAGAGAAGGUGAAAAGCCUGUGUGGUUGUGUCAAUUCGGUGGACCGGUUUACUUACGAGUCUAGUUGUUUGAGAGUACAACUUAAAGUUGGUGGUAAAUUUCAUCAAAGGCUAAAUAUAUGAAGGGACUAAUAGCGAACAAGUACCAUGAGGGAAAGUUGAAAAGUACUCUGACGAGAGAGUUAUACAGUACGUGAAACCAUACUGAGUAAAACAGAUAACUGUGUUGUUUUGCCCAGAUCCAUCAACAGCGUUGGGAGCAAUGCCAAUCCACAAGAGUCAGCUGUUUAUUCAGCGUCGUUUCUGGUGGUCAGCAGAGCAAUCCACUCUGUGUACUGGUGUCUGGGCGUUCAUUGAGAAACUAUGGUGUUGCAUCAUCGGUGUCCGUCAGUUCGUGCUAUGUGCGUAGAUGGGCGCUGGGUGUUCAGCUAACGCUGUCGUUUAGCUAGUAAUAGCUGUGAGAUGCGUUCAAAAGCCUGCUCUGCUUUAGCUGCGAAUCGGUUUAUUCCUUUUUGCGUCGAGUACGAGUUGGGUGUAUUGAGUGUCUCGCCAUCAAUGAUUUGAAACAUUAGUUAUUUGACCCGUCUUGAAACACGGACCAAGGAGUUCAAAUGGCACGCGAGUCAUUGGGUUUAAUCACCCGAAGGCGAAGUGAAAUGCAAAUUUAUCGUCACUCGUGCUAUGUACGAUUUAGCGAUAAGCUACUGAUGCUUUCUGGCAUUCGUAGACUAAAAGCGUGAUGUUUGAGACCCGAAAGAUGGUGACCUAUGCCUAGUCAAGAUGAAGCCAGAGGAAACUCUGGUGGAUGUCUGAAGUUAUUCUGACGUGCAAAUCGAUAAUCUGAUCUGGGUAUAGGGGCGAAAGACUAAUCGAACCAUCUAGUAGCUGGUUCCUCCCGAAGUUUCCCUCAGGAUAGCAAGCGUACAUUUUUUAGUUUCAUCCCGUAGAGCGAAUGAUUAGAGGCCUUGGGGCGUAUAUAGCCUCAACCUAUUCUCAAACUUUCAAUGGGUGUGAGUGUUCUUUCUUGAUUGAAGGACCCUAUUAAAUAAGUAUGCUUAGUGGGCCAUUUUUGGUAAGCAGAACUGGCGCUGUGGGUUGAACCAAAUGUCGAGUUAAAGUGCCUAAAGCCGAAAUGCGCAUGAGAUCUAUAAAGGGUGUUAGUGCUGAAGACAGCAGG
This 1258-nucleotide ribosomal RNA is filed under the name Neocypholaelaps sp. APGD-2010. RNAcentral's name for it is "eukaryotic LSU rRNA". It matches the Rfam family "Eukaryotic large subunit ribosomal RNA", at positions 127 to 1244 of the family's 3401-position model. The record is from RNAcentral. Lineage: Eukaryota; Metazoa; Arthropoda; Arachnida; Mesostigmata; Ameroseiidae.